Molecule: ribosomal RNA, 1190 nt
Filed under: Haloarcula argentinensis
Lineage: Archaea; Methanobacteriati; Methanobacteriota; Halobacteria; Halobacteriales; Haloarculaceae
Description: bacterial SSU rRNA
Rfam family: Archaeal small subunit ribosomal RNA
Source: RNAcentral
AUUCCGGUUGAUCCUGCCGGAGGCCAUUGCUAUCGGAGUCCGAUUUAGCCAUGCUAGUCGCACGAGUUCAGACUCGUGGCAUAUAGCUCAGUAACACGUGGCCAAACUACCCUACAGACCGCAAUAACCUCGGGAAACUGAGGCCAAUAGCGGAUAUAACUCUCAGGCUGGAGUGCCGAGAGUUAGAAACGUUCCGGCGCUGUAGGAUGUGGCUGCGGCCGAUUAGGUAGAUGGUGGGGUAACGGCCCACCAUGCCGAUAAUCGGUACAGGUUGUGAGAGCAAGAGCCUGGAGACGGUAUCUGAGACAAGAUACCGGGCCCUACGGGGCGCAGCAGGCGCGAAACCUUUACACUGCACGACAGUGCGAUAGGGGGACUCCGAGUGUGAGGGCAUAUAGCCCUCGCUUUUCUGUACCGUAAGGUGGUACAGGAACAAGGACUGGGCAAGACCGGUGCCAGCCGCCGCGGUAAUACCGGCAGUCCAAGUGAUGGCCGAUAUUAUUGGGCCUAAAGCGUCCGUAGCUUGCUGUGUAAGUCCAUUGGGAAAUCGACCAGCUCAACUGGUCGGCGUCCGGUGGAAACUACACAGCUUGGGGCCGAGAGACUCAACGGGUACGUCCGGGGUAGGAGUGAAAUCCUGUAAUCCUGGACGGACCACCAAUGGGGAAACCACGUUGAGAGACCGGACCCGACAGUGAGGGACGAAAGCCAGGGUCUCGAACCGGAUUAGAUACCCGGGUAGUCCUGGCUGUAAACAAUGCUCGCUAGGUAUGUCACGCGCCAUGAGCACGUGAUGUGCCGUAGUGAAGACGAUAAGCGAGCCGCCUGGGAAGUACGUCCGCAAGGAUGAAACUUAAAGGAAUUGGCGGGGGAGCACCACAACCGGAGGAGCCUGCGGUUUAAUUGGACUCAACGCCGGACAUCUCACCGGUCCCGACAGUAGUAAUGACAGUCAGGUUGACGACUUUACUCGACGCUACUGAGAGGAGGUGCAUGGCCGCCGUCAGCUCGUACCGUGAGGCGUCCUGUUAAGUCAGGCAACGAGCGAGACCCACACUUCUAGUUGCCAGCAACACCCCUGCGGUGGUUGGGUACACUAGGAGGACUGCCAUUGCUAAAAUGGAGGAAGGAAUGGGCAACGGUAGGUCAGUAUGCCCCGAAUGGACCGGGCAACACGCGGGCUACAAUGG